UGCGUAGGCGGCGUUACAAGUCAGGAGUUAAAGAUUGUAGCUUAACUACGAUAUGCUCUUGAUACUGUAGUGCUUGAAUUGGGAUGAGGAUAGCGGAAUGUGACAUGUAGCGGUGAAAUGCAUAGAUAUGUCAUAGAACACCGAUUGCGAAGGCAGCUAUCUGGCCCUAUAUUGACGCUGAUGCACGAAAGCGUGGGGAGCGAACAGGAUUAGAUACCCUGGUAGUCC
Molecule: ribosomal RNA, 228 nt
Filed under: uncultured bacterium
Lineage: Bacteria
Description: partial 16S ribosomal RNA
Rfam family: Bacterial small subunit ribosomal RNA
Source: RNAcentral